GUGAUUAAUCGAGCGUGUCUUCAUUGACCGCUUCACCCUUCUCACCAAUCCACAUACCACCUGAUGGCACUGGUUAAGCCCUGAGCCGGUUUUCCGGUCCAGGUUUAUCAUUUCAUACAAACUCUAGUCUUAUGAAGUGUAAAAGUUUUACAAACAUAUAA
This 161-nucleotide unclassified non-coding RNA is filed under the name soil metagenome. RNAcentral describes it as "partial internal transcribed spacer 1". The record is from RNAcentral.